Molecule: ribosomal RNA, 248 nt
Filed under: Escherichia coli
Lineage: Bacteria; Pseudomonadati; Pseudomonadota; Gammaproteobacteria; Enterobacterales; Enterobacteriaceae
Description: partial 23S ribosomal RNA
Rfam family: Bacterial large subunit ribosomal RNA
Source: RNAcentral
AUAAUGGGUCAGCGACUUAUAUUCUGUAGCAAGGUUAACCGAAUAGGGGAGCCGAAGGGAAACCGAGUCUUAACUGGGCGUUAAGUUGCAGGGUAUAGACCCGAAACCCGGUGAUCUAGCCAUGGGCAGGUUGAAGGUUGGGUAACACUAACUGGAGGACCGAACCGACUAAUGUUGAAAAAUUAGCGGAUGACUUGUGGCUGGGGGUGAAAGGCCAAUCAAACCGGGAGAUAGCUGGUUCUCCCCGA